RNAcentral lists this non-coding RNA (45 nucleotides) under Schistosoma mansoni. Lineage: Eukaryota; Metazoa; Platyhelminthes; Trematoda; Strigeidida; Schistosomatidae. The record is from RNAcentral.
AUCCAACUGACGAGUGCCAAAUAGGACGAAACGUGCUUCCUCGAU